This 258-nucleotide long non-coding RNA is filed under the name Lathyrus oleraceus (garden pea). Its description in RNAcentral is "Pisum sativum (pea) long non-coding RNA (PSAT_LNC016286)". The record is from RNAcentral. Lineage: Eukaryota; Viridiplantae; Streptophyta; Magnoliopsida; Fabales; Fabaceae.
UUUCCACCAAACUUCCAGAAGAGGAUGCGAGAGCCCUAUGAGAAGACCAAGCAGGCGAAGAAAGCUAAGCUAGGAGAAACAUCUUGAUCAAGACCCCCAAUGCCUCUAGUUGGCUCUCCAGGUAAGUUUGUAUCUCUCCCUCCUUCUGUAAAAAUCAAAUCCAUUGCUUCUUCACUUCCUCAAACAAACCCUAUAUACACAACUGCUGAUACUCCUCCCUCAACCACCAGAUCCUCUAACCAACCAUCUCAAAAAUUC